UCACAGCGGAGAGCCGAGGCAGAGUGCGCGUUCCUUGAAGCAAAUGAACUCAGUGGAGUUGGUUGAGCACUGAAGUGACGGAAAGGGAGUAGAUCCUACUAAACAUUAAAUAGGAAAACUAGAGGUUAAACUAUCGAUUCCAUCUCGCUGGUAUCGAUCCGAUACAAUACCAACUUUAAUAUCGAUUAUAUAAAUACCCCGGAUCGAUCCGCCCACCCCUAGCUCAUUCGCCUCUAGUAAACGUAUAACUCGAAACUGAGUGGCGCACAUUUAGGAAACGGCAGAAUCUGCUUGGAUCUAGUGCUGGUUUCAGAUCUCCGCUAACCAUAACAAAAAAAAAAACGGCAGCCUCCAAGACUGUCAAUGUGUAUUCGCUCUGGUCAGAAUUUCGCCUGAAUGUUAGCCUCUAGGAUAGACACCAUUAUAUCAAACACAGUCUCGCCCGAUUAAAGGGUAUUGUUCCGAUAACCACUGAAAUCUGCGGAAGUGUAGCAGGUUGAAAUUUAUGACUACAGUACGUCACCCUUAUUUAGUCAGAGCCUCGGGGAAGCGUCCCCAAAACAAUACGCUUAAAUCACAAAUGGAAAGAUACAUAUAUAACUUAUUAAAUAAUCAAAUUCAUACACCAUGGGCCUAUUCAAUAGGCACAAACGUAUAUGCUAACCCAAGUUAGACUCCAACAGAGCCAACGAGUGAAUACAUUGCCCACAGUUUGUUCAUGAGCAUAAAGACAUCA
Molecule: non-coding RNA, 736 nt
Organism: Paramormyrops kingsleyae
Lineage: Eukaryota; Metazoa; Chordata; Actinopteri; Osteoglossiformes; Mormyridae
Source: RefSeq, a predicted model, not a curated record